Non-coding RNA from Stegodyphus mimosarum, 45 nucleotides. NCBI's taxonomy places the organism in Eukaryota, Metazoa, Arthropoda, Arachnida, Araneae, Eresidae. The record is from Rfam.
ACACUGGCCUUUUUCAGGGCCACAAAUUAAGAAAAAAAAACAGAA